Molecule: ribosomal RNA, 339 nt
Filed under: Triticum aestivum (bread wheat)
Lineage: Eukaryota; Viridiplantae; Streptophyta; Magnoliopsida; Poales; Poaceae
Description: partial small subunit ribosomal RNA
Source: RNAcentral
AUGCAGCGGUCCCUUUCGCCCAUUUUGCCAAGGCCGGAAAGUCGAGCUCCAGCCACCAAGGGUGGCAAACCAGCGAAGAAAAGGAAACUGGACGUGGCACCGGCGCGGAGGAGUGCAAGGAUUGCGAAGCAUGCGACCACCAAACAGCAACAAGUCCUCAUUCGUAAGUUGUGUCUCGCGCAUGAGGGGGAGGUGAUCUCUGAGGAAGCCCUUCGGAUGUACGUCGACUUAUUCUCCCGCCCCCUCUCGGACGCACACAUUGGCGCCGUGUUGGCGUUGUUUGGUUGGGAGUCGCCGGCUAUGCCGCUCAUGGAGGAGGCACCGGAUGCUGCGGCGUAG